This 492-nucleotide ribosomal RNA is filed under the name uncultured bacterium. RNAcentral's name for it is "partial 16S ribosomal RNA". It matches the Rfam family "Bacterial small subunit ribosomal RNA", at positions 29 to 507 of the family's 1533-position model. The record is from RNAcentral.
AGUGAACGCUGGCGGUAGGCCUAACACAUGCAAGUCGAACGGCAGCACAGUAAGAGCUUGCUCUUACGGGUGGCGAGUGGCGGACGGGUGAGGAAUACAUCGGAAUCUACUUUUUCGUGGGGGAUAACGUAGGGACAAUUACGCUAAUACCGCAUACGACCUACGGGUGAAAGCAGGGGAUCUUCGGACCUUGCGCGAUUGUAUGAGCCGAUGUCGGAUUAGCUAGUUGGCGGGGUAAAGGCCCACCAAGGCGACGAUCCGUAGCUGGUCUGAGAGGAUGAUCAGCCACACUGGAACUGAGACACGGUCCAGACUCCUACGGGAGGCAGCAGUGGGGAAUAUUGGACAAAGGGCGCAAGCCUGAUCCAGCCAUACCGCGUGGGUGAAGAAGGCCUUCGGGUUGUAAAGCCCUUUUGUUGGGAAAGAAAAGCAGCAGGUUAAUACCCCGCUGUUCUGACGGUACCCAAAGAAUAAGCACCGGCUAACUUCGUG